RNAcentral lists this transfer RNA (69 nucleotides) under Ictidomys tridecemlineatus (thirteen-lined ground squirrel). RNAcentral describes it as "Spermophilus tridecemlineatus (thirteen-lined ground squirrel) tRNA". It matches the Rfam family "tRNA". From Rfam's summary of the family: Transfer RNA (tRNA) molecules are approximately 80 nucleotides in length. The record is from Rfam by way of RNAcentral. Lineage: Eukaryota; Metazoa; Chordata; Mammalia; Rodentia; Sciuridae.
GGGGCUGUGGCUCAGUGGUAGAGUGCUUGCCUAGCACAUAUGAGGCACUGGGUUCGAUCCCCAGCACCA